Neogale vison (American mink) is the source of this 1652-nucleotide long non-coding RNA. RefSeq lists it as uncharacterized. NCBI's taxonomy places the organism in Eukaryota, Metazoa, Chordata, Mammalia, Carnivora, Mustelidae. The record is from RefSeq and is a predicted model, not a curated record. The transcript has 3 exons.
AGCCAACAUACCUGGCCUGCAACUGGCGCGGUGGGAGGGGGCGGCGGCGCUCCAGGGACCGGGAGGAGGUCCACCUUCAAGAAUGAGCCCAGAUUAUCUUACAGCAGCAGGCCGCCCUGUCCCAACCGGGUCAUUUUGCUGAGGGCUCCAGAGACGGUGGAUGGGAUGAGAAUUGGUCUCUCUCCUUCUCCAGGACCCCCUCGCCUACUACUCUUUGGUGGCAUCAGUCUCUGCGCAGGCCCCUCGGUUGCCUAGCAACCGCAGCCGCCAGCAGGGGCGCGGGGCCGCUUUGGACCUGUAGGGGGCGCCUGCCUCCCUGGGGCCUCAGGCUGGAGCUCUAGCUGUUGAGACUAUGUGCCAAGUGUCAAAGCAUCUCAAGGCCUACCAAUGCUUAUUCCUCAAUCGGAGCCGUUCAGAGGGUCCAGGCUACAGCGGGCUUUCUUCCCGAGCCACUUUUUGGAUGUGGAAAAAUGAGUCUAGCCCUCUUUUUGUCAAUAUUGUCAAACCGCUGAGCACAUAAAAGACUUCAAGCUCCUGGGUUAUCAGCGCAACCUAGACUUGGUCAGAAAAAAAAAAGAUAUUAAUUCAUUUGUUCAGUCAACAAUAAUAACUAACCUUAACGUGUUGUGUACCAGGGAAUGUGUGAAGGUUUUACAUUUAAUCUUCACAAAAACCUUAUGAUUAUUUCCAUUUCACAAGCAAAGAGACUAAAGCUCAGAGCAUUUUCAAGGUCACACGACUAGUGACUGUGUUGGGUCUGUGAGCAACCGUUGUGUGCCAGGUCUAAAAUAUAGAAAAUAAGACACCACUCUCUUUUCACUACCUAAUGAACACCUAAUCACCCUUCAGGACCAAACUAAAAAUGUGAUCUCCUUGGUGAAACAAUUCUGAAGUCCUCCCCCCACAAGAAGAGUUGGUAACUGCUUUUCUGUACAACCCUCUGAAACAGCACUUCUCAUGGGGACUAUAAUGAUCUGCAUCUACACUUCCAUUUCUCUAACUUGGAGCACCUCAGUGACAGGGCUGUUUACAGUAUUUACUGUUCAUCUCUCCAUCUGGGUGUCUGAUAGAUACCUCAAACUCAACAUAUCCCAAUCCACACAUCUGAUCUCUCCCCUCACACCACCCCCCCCCACCCCAGAAUGGCCACUCCUAAGGCUGUCCUCAUCUCAGUCAAUGGCAGUUUCACCUUUCCCAUGGCUCUGGCCAAAAAGCCUUGGAACCACACCUCAUAUCCAUUCUGUCAGCAAAUCCUAGUGACUUUCUCUUCAAAAUGUGGGUUCCUCUGAAACCUUUCAUAAGCUGAAAUGGCAAAAAAGCAAUUACCAUUAAUGUGCAUGGAAAAAUUUUUGAGCCUUCCCAGACCCCAAAAAUAACCUCUCUUAGGCUUUUCUGAUACCUCAGGGCACAUCUUGCUAACGAAUGCACAAAAUAAAUGGAGAUAAAGCACAGAUGCUCACAGAUACAGUUCAAAGCCGUGGUGACUAGAUGCUGAGCUGCUGGGCGCAGUUCCCCAGGAAAGAGCUUGGCCAGGCUGCUCUAGCUGCUUGCUCUUGGUAUUUGCUGCCUCUAUCACUGCUCACUGCAAAGCAAAUGCUGAAUGCUAUUUUCACGUUUUUACUCCUUUUUAAAAAAUAAAAGCAAAAAUCCUC